AUGAUGGGUUUAUGGUUUAGAACUGUUUCAUUUAUAAUAUAACGAAUUUUUUUAAUAGGUGAAAAUACCUAUAGAAAAAUAAUAGACGAGAAGACCCUUAGAGUUUUAAUAAAAAUUUUAUUAUUUAAAAUUAUGUUUUUGUUGGGGCGACAUUUUAUUAAUUAAGAUAGUAAAUAACAUAAAUUAACCACACUAAACAUAUAACUUAAGGUUUAUUAAGAAGAAUAUAACUACCUGAGGGAUAACAGCAUAAU
Molecule: ribosomal RNA, 254 nt
Filed under: Geomalacus maculosus
Lineage: Eukaryota; Metazoa; Mollusca; Gastropoda; Stylommatophora; Arionidae
Description: partial 16S ribosomal RNA
Source: RNAcentral